CCUACGGGAGGCAGCAGUGGGGGAUAUUGCACAAUGGGGGGAACCCUGAUGCAGCGACGCCGCGUGGGUGAAGACGCGCCUCGGCGCGUAAAGCCCUGUCAGCAGGGAAGAAAAUGACGGUACCUGAAGCAGCAGCCACGGCUAACUACGUGCAAGCAGCCGCGGUAAUACGUAGGGGGCAAGCGUUCUCCGGAGGUAUUGGGUGGAAAGGGGGCGCAGGCGGCGAUGCAAGCCAGGAUUGAAAGCCCGGGGCCCAACCCCGGGACUGCUCUUGGAACUGCGUGGCUGGAGUGCAGGAGGGGCAGGCGGAAUGCCUGGGGUAGCGGUGAAAUGCGUAGAUAUCAGGAGGAACACCGGUGGCGAAGGCGGCCUGCUGGACUGCAACUGACGUUGAGGCCCGAAAGCGUGGGGAGCAAACAGGAUUAGAUACCCUUGUAGUC
RNAcentral lists this ribosomal RNA (440 nucleotides) under uncultured bacterium. Its description in RNAcentral is "partial 16S ribosomal RNA". It matches the Rfam family "Bacterial small subunit ribosomal RNA", at positions 338 to 795 of the family's 1533-position model. The record is from RNAcentral.